CAUGCCUAUAGUGUGAAUAAACUUUCACGUUUUAUAAUCAUUUAGUUUUGGGAAAGACGACGUUAGAGCUUAUAUUUAUGGAAAAAAGUAAUAGUACAUUUUACUUGUUUCAAUUCCCUGUUAUGGAUGAAUUCAUGCCUGGUGUAAGUAAAUACCCCGCUAUCUUAUUUUUUCCCCUUCGUGCUUUAGGCCUAUUCUGAUAAUAUACUUUUUUUUUUAUAAAGACUGCCUCCAAAAAUUGAAGGUAGAGCUUUCAUGGCUUUGAAUUAUAUACCUCCACCAUAAACCCAGUCUGAUAAGACAUACAGAAACAGUUUAGACUUUCUAUUUCUUGCCUCCGACAGCCAGGAAACCUUUUCACAUCAGAAUAUAUAAAGCAGAUUUCUGCUCCGAGUGAAAUUUGAAAAUAAUAAGAAUGAAUACAUUUGUAUUCGGCCUGCAAAAUAACACAAUAACACAUUCUUUAUGUGUUCUGCCACAGAGACUCUGGCCCCAGAUGAAGAGGAUUUCAAACCCAAACCAAAGUCGUUUUCUCAAUCUGUCAGUGUGCCAAAGAUACCAGAGGGAGAAAAAGUCGAAUUUGAUGACAUCCAUAAGAAGCGUCAGGAGAAGGAUCUGACUGAGCUGCAGUCACUCAUCAAGGCCCAUUUCAUUCAGAGGAAGAAGGACGAGCAGGAGCUCAUCGCUCUUGUUAACAGGAUCGAGAAGCGUCGUGCUGAGAGGGCCGACCAGCAGAGGAUCCGUACUGAGCUGGAGAAAGAGAGGCAGGCUCGUGUUGCUGAAGAAAAGGAGCGGAAGGAGCUGGAGGAGGCGCGCAAGAAGCAGGACGACGACGCCAAGAAGAAGAAGGCUCUUACCAACAUAACUCAGCAGUAUGGCACCUCCCAACAGAGGCACGAUGGCAAGAAGGGAGCGAAGAAGCAGACGGAGCGAGAGAAGAAGAGGAAGAUAUUGGCCGAGAGGAGGAAGCCACUCAUCGUUGAUCAUCUCACCGAGGACAAAGUGAAGGAUAAGGCCAGUGAGCUGAGGCAGUGGCUGAUGACACUGGAGUCGGAGAAGUUUGAGCUUAUGGAGAUACUGAAGAGACAGAAAUAUGAUAUCAAUCUGCUCCAGAUCCGAAUCACUGAGCAGCAGAAGUUGUAAGUAAAGCUUAAUGAGGAGUGUGAGCCUCCUGCUUGUGUAGAUUUGCCGUGUGUGUGUGCGUGUGUGUGCGUGUGCAGGAGGGUCAGAAAUCCAGACCUGGUCAGUGCAGAGAGAGACGACCCCAGGCUGCAGUGACGCGAGUGCCAAAGGAAGAGGCAAGACCAAAGGCAGGCUGAGAUAAACAUCAGUGCUGUGAGGAAGAGGCUGAAAAUAUGCAGCAGUGACUAAUCUUUAAUUUCACUUCAAUAAAGGCAAGAACUGUAAGAACUGGGGGAAGACAAACAAUAAAAUAAUAAAACUACA
RNA transcript from Solea solea (common sole), 1446 nucleotides. It is a transcript of the gene named troponin T2e, cardiac, with no coding region annotated. The record is from RefSeq and is a predicted model, not a curated record. Lineage: Eukaryota; Metazoa; Chordata; Actinopteri; Pleuronectiformes; Soleidae. The transcript has 10 exons.